This 850-nucleotide ribosomal RNA is filed under the name Aleocharinae gen. sp. 1 ZMUN 10029193. RNAcentral describes it as "bacterial SSU rRNA". It matches the Rfam family "Eukaryotic small subunit ribosomal RNA", at positions 455 to 1225 of the family's 1831-position model. The record is from RNAcentral. Lineage: Eukaryota; Metazoa; Arthropoda; Insecta; Coleoptera; Staphylinidae.
CACGGGGAGGUAGUGACGAAAAAUAACGAUACGGGACUCAUCCGAGGCCCCGUAAUCGGAAUGAGUACACUCUAAAUCCUUCUACAAGGAUCAAUUGGAGGGCAAGCCUGGUGCCAGCAGCCGCGGUAAUUCCAGUUCCAAUAGCGUAUAUUAAAGCUGUUGCGGUUAAAAAGCUCGUAGUCGAAUUUGUGUCUCGCGCCGCUGGUUCAUCGCUCGCGGUGUCAAACUGGCGUGUCUCGCGGGACGUCCUGCCGGUGGGCUCUUCGAAUUGAUUGCUUCGGCGGUCGUUCGUGGCCCUACUUGUGCUCGCCUUCGUGCGGGUGCGAAUCCCAUCGCGGUGCUCUUUAUUGAGUGUCGAGGUGGGUCGGCACAUUUACUUUGAACAAAUUAGAGUGCUUAAAGCAGGCCAAUUUUGCCUGAAUAUUGUAUGCAUGGAAUAAUGGAAUAGGACCUCGGUUCUAUUUUGUUGGUUUUCGGAACCCCGAGGUAAUGAUUAACAGGGACGGAUGGGGGCAUUCGUAUUGCGACGUUAGAGGUGAAAUUCUUGGAUCGUCGCAAGACGGACAGAAGCGAAAGCAUUUGCCAAAAACGUUUUCAUUGAUCAAGAACGAAAGUUAGAGGUUCGAAGGCGAUCAGAUACCGCCCUAGUUCUAACCAUAAACGAUGCCAGCUAGCGAUCCGCCGACGUUCCUCCGAUGACUCGGCGGGCAGCUUCCGGGAAACCAAAGCUUUUGGGUUCCGGGGGAAGUAUGGUUGCAAAGCUGAAACUUAAAGGAAUUGACGGAAGGGCACCACCAGGAGUGGAGCCUGCGGCUUAAUUUGACUCAACACGGGAAACCUCAUCAGGCCC